This 1436-nucleotide ribosomal RNA is filed under the name Lactiplantibacillus plantarum. RNAcentral's name for it is "bacterial SSU rRNA". It matches the Rfam family "Bacterial small subunit ribosomal RNA". The record is from RNAcentral. Lineage: Bacteria; Bacillati; Bacillota; Bacilli; Lactobacillales; Lactobacillaceae.
CAAGUCGAACGAACUCUGGUAUUGAUUGGUGCUUGCAUCAUGAUUUACAUUUGAGUGAGUGGCGAACUGGUGAGUAACACGUGGGAAACCUGCCCAGAAGCGGGGGAUAACACCUGGAAACAGAUGCUAAUACCGCAUAACAACUUGGACCGCAUGGUCCGAGCUUGAAAGAUGGCUUCGGCUAUCACUUUUGGAUGGUCCCGCGGCGUAUUAGCUAGAUGGUGGGGUAACGGCUCACCAUGGCAAUGAUACGUAGCCGACCUGAGAGGGUAAUCGGCCACAUUGGGACUGAGACACGGCCCAAACUCCUACGGGAGGCAGCAGUAGGGAAUCUUCCACAAUGGACGAAAGUCUGAUGGAGCAACGCCGCGUGAGUGAAGAAGGGUUUCGGCUCGUAAAACUCUGUUGUUAAAGAAGAACAUAUCUGAGAGUAACUGUUCAGGUAUUGACGGUAUUUAACCAGAAAGCCACGGCUAACUACGUGCCAGCAGCCGCGGUAAUACGUAGGUGGCAAGCGUUGUCCGGAUUUAUUGGGCGUAAAGCGAGCGCAGGCGGUUUUUUAAGUCUGAUGUGAAAGCCUUCGGCUCAACCGAAGAAGUGCAUCGGAAACUGGGAAACUUGAGUGCAGAAGAGGACAGUGGAACUCCAUGUGUAGCGGUGAAAUGCGUAGAUAUAUGGAAGAACACCAGUGGCGAAGGCGGCUGUCUGGUCUGUAACUGACGCUGAGGCUCGAAAGUAUGGGUAGCAAACAGGAUUAGAUACCCUGGUAGUCCAUACCGUAAACGAUGAAUGCUAAGUGUUGGAGGGUUUCCGCCCUUCAGUGCUGCAGCUAACGCAUUAAGCAUUCCGCCUGGGGAGUACGGCCGCAAGGCUGAAACUCAAAGGAAUUGACGGGGGCCCGCACAAGCGGUGGAGCAUGUGGUUUAAUUCGAAGCUACGCGAAGAACCUUACCAGGUCUUGACAUACUAUGCAAAUCUAAGAGAUUAGACGUUCCCUUCGGGGACAUGGAUACAGGUGGUGCAUGGUUGUCGUCAGCUCGUGUCGUGAGAUGUUGGGUUAAGUCCCGCAACGAGCGCAACCCUUAUUAUCAGUUGCCAGCAUUAAGUUGGGCACUCUGGUGAGACUGCCGGUGACAAACCGGAGGAAGGUGGGGAUGACGUCAAAUCAUCAUGCCCCUUAUGACCUGGGCUACACACGUGCUACAAUGGAUGGUACAACGAGUUGCGAACUCGCGAGAGUAAGCUAAUCUCUUAAAGCCAUUCUCAGUUCGGAUUGUAGGCUGCAACUCGCCUACAUGAAGUCGGAAUCGCUAGUAAUCGCGGAUCAGCAUGCCGCGGUGAAUACGUUCCCGGGCCUUGUACACACCGCCCGUCACACCAUGAGAGUUUGUAACACCCAAAGUCGGUGGGGUAACCUUAGGAACCAGCCGCCUAAG